RNAcentral lists this ribosomal RNA (372 nucleotides) under uncultured Pseudoxanthomonas sp. RNAcentral's name for it is "bacterial SSU rRNA". It matches the Rfam family "Bacterial small subunit ribosomal RNA", at positions 544 to 916 of the family's 1533-position model. The record is from RNAcentral. Lineage: Bacteria; Pseudomonadati; Pseudomonadota; Gammaproteobacteria; Lysobacterales; Lysobacteraceae.
AGCAGAGCAUUGGGCCUAAAGCGUGCGUAGGUGGUGGUUUAAGUCUGCUGUGAAGGCCCUGGGCUCAACCUGGGAAUUGCAGUGGAUACUGGAUCACUAGAGUGUGGUAGAGGGAUGCGGAAUUUCUGGUGUAGCAGUGAAAUGCGUAGAGAUCAGAAGGAACAUCCGUGGCGAAGGCGGCAUCCUGGGCCAACACUGACACUGAGGCACGAAAGCGUGGGGAGCAAACAGGAUUAGAUACCCUGGUAGUCCACGCCCUAAACGAUGCGAACUGGAUGUUGGGUGCAACUUGGCACCCAGUAUCGAAGCUAACGCGUUAAGUUCGCCGCCUGGGGAGUACGGUCGCAAGACUGAAACUAAAAUAAUUGACGG